RNAcentral lists this ribosomal RNA (294 nucleotides) under uncultured bacterium. Its description in RNAcentral is "partial 16S ribosomal RNA". It matches the Rfam family "Bacterial small subunit ribosomal RNA", at positions 333 to 625 of the family's 1533-position model. The record is from RNAcentral.
UCUGGCCUACGGGACGCAGCAGUGAGGAAUAUUGGUCAAUGGGCGGGAGCCUGAACCAGCCAAGUCGCGUGAGGGAAGAAGGUACUGAGUAUUGUAAACCUCUUUCGCCAGGGGACAAAGGCGGCCACGGGUGGCCGUAAGAGGGUACCUGGAGAAAAAGCAUCGGCUAACUCCGUGCCAGCAGCCGCGGUAAUACGGAGGAUGCGAGCGUUAUCCGGAUUUAUUGGGUUUAAAGGGUACGCAGGCGUCGUGUCAAGUCAGCGGUAAAAUGUCGGGGCUCAACCCCGGCCGGCC